AUUGAACGCUGGCGGCGUGCCUAAUACAUGCAAGUCGAGCGAACAGAUGAGAAGCUUGCUUCUCUGAUGUUAGCGGCGGACGGGUGAGUAACACGUGGGUAACCUACCUAUAAGACUGGGAUAACUCCGGGAAACCGGGGCUAAUACCGGAUAAUAUUUUGAACCGCAUGGUUCAAUAGUGAAAGACGGUUUCGGCUGUCACUUAUAGAUGGACCCGCGCCGUAUUAGCUAGUUGGUAAGGUAACGGCUUACCAAGGCGACGAUACGUAGCCGACCUGAGAGGGUGAUCGGCCAAACUGGAACUGAGACACGGUCCAGACUCCUACGGGAGGCAGCAGUAGGGAAUCUUCCGCAAUGGGCGAAAGCCUAACGGAGCAACGCCGCGUGAGUGAUGAAGGUCUUCGGAUCGUAAAACUCUGUUGUUAGGGAAGAACAAAUUUGUUAGUAACUGAACAAGUCUUGACGGUACCUAACCAGAAAGCCACGGCUAACUACGUGCCAGCCGCCGCCGUAA
This 514-nucleotide ribosomal RNA is filed under the name uncultured bacterium. RNAcentral describes it as "partial 16S ribosomal RNA". It matches the Rfam family "Bacterial small subunit ribosomal RNA", at positions 30 to 523 of the family's 1533-position model. The record is from RNAcentral.